AUGGUGGUCUAUGCCAAGCAAAGCAAAGGAGCAGGCCAGAAACGGCCAGAAUAUGGCAGAGAAGAUGCAGCGCCAAUUGCAUGCCCACGGGAUGUGCUUGCAUCACUUGGUGGCCAGUCAAAAAGUAUGUUCUGUACACUGCCUCUUAGGCAAGAAGCGAGCAUCAGCGGUGGCUCGCGGUUAUCAAGAAAAUUGUACGCAGGGGAAGAGGCUUCUUCGGCACCUGCGUCGCCUUCGAAAGUACUGGAGGAAAGGACACUGUCAUCUAGAUCAUUGUUGCUUCAACCGGAGUUGCACCCGUAUCCGGAGAAAAUUCUUCGAACGAUUGACCCGGAAAAGGUGAAAUGGAGUGGGCGACGGUGUCUAAGCGCCAAGGAACCGGCGGAUUUUGAGGAUGCGAACACGAAGGAGUGUUAG
Molecule: ribosomal RNA, 417 nt
Filed under: Triticum aestivum (bread wheat)
Lineage: Eukaryota; Viridiplantae; Streptophyta; Magnoliopsida; Poales; Poaceae
Description: partial small subunit ribosomal RNA
Source: RNAcentral